AGUGAACGCUGGCGGUAGGCCUAACACAUGCAAGUCGAACGGCAGCACAGUAAGAGCUUGCUCUUACGGGUGGCGAGUGGCGGACGGGUGAGGAAUACAUCGGAAUCUACUUUUUCGUGGGGGAUAACGUAGGGAAACUUACGCUAAUACCGCAUACUACCUACGGGUGAAAGCAGGGGAUCUUGGGACCUUGCGCGAUUGAUUGAGCCGAUGUCGGAUUAGCUAGUUGGCGGGGUAAGGGCCCACCAAGGCGACGAUCCGUAGCUGGUCUGAGAGGAUGAUCAGCCACACUGGAACUGAGACACGGUCCAGACUCCUACGGGAGGCAGCAGUGGGGAAUAUUGGACAAUGGGCGAAAGCCUGAUCCAGCCAUACCGCGUGGGUGAAGAAGGCCUUCGGGUUGUAAAGCCCUUUUGUUGGGAAAGAAAAGCAGCAGGUUAAUACCCCGCUGUUCUGACGGUACCCAAAGAAUAAGCACCGGCUAACUUCGUG
RNAcentral lists this ribosomal RNA (492 nucleotides) under uncultured bacterium. Its description in RNAcentral is "partial 16S ribosomal RNA". It matches the Rfam family "Bacterial small subunit ribosomal RNA", at positions 29 to 507 of the family's 1533-position model. The record is from RNAcentral.